AACGAACGCUGGCGGCAGGCCUAACACAUGCAAGUCGAGCGAGGACUUCGGUCCUAGCGGCGGACGGGUGAGUAACGCGUGGGAACGUGCCCUUUGCUUCGGAAUAGCCCUGGGAAACUGGGAGGAAUACCGGAUGAGCCCUUUGGGGGAAAGAUUUAUCGGCGAAGGAUCGGCCCGCGUUGGAUUAGGUAGUUGGUGGGGUAAUGGCCUACCAAGCCGACGAUCCAUAGCUGGUUUGAGAGGAUGAUCAGCCACACUGGGACUGAGACACGGCCCAGACUCCUACGGGAGGCAGCAGUGGGGAAUCUUAGACAAUGGGGGAAACCCUGAUCUAGCCAUGCCGCGUGAGCGAUGAAGGCCUUAGGGUUGUAAAGCUCUUUCAGCUGGGAAGAUAAUGACGGUACCAGCAGAAGAAGCCCCGGCUAACUCCGUG
RNAcentral lists this ribosomal RNA (433 nucleotides) under uncultured bacterium. RNAcentral describes it as "partial 16S ribosomal RNA". It matches the Rfam family "Bacterial small subunit ribosomal RNA", at positions 29 to 507 of the family's 1533-position model. The record is from RNAcentral.